This 460-nucleotide ribosomal RNA is filed under the name uncultured bacterium. RNAcentral describes it as "partial 16S ribosomal RNA". It matches the Rfam family "Bacterial small subunit ribosomal RNA", at positions 338 to 795 of the family's 1533-position model. The record is from RNAcentral.
CCUACGGGGGGCAGCAGUGAGGAAUAUUGGUCAAUGGGCGCGAGCCUGAACCAGCCAAGUCGCGUGAGGGAAGACGGUCCUAUGGAUUGUAAACCUCUUUUGUCGGGGAGCAAAAGCCGCCACGCGUGGCGUUCCGAGAGUACCCGAAGAAAAAGCAUCGGCUAACUCCGUGCCAGCAGCCGCGGUAAUACGGAGGAUGCGAGCGUUAUCCGGAUUUAUUGGGUUUAAAGGGAGCGUAGGCCGCAUGUCAAGCGUGCUGUGAAAUGUCCGGGGCUAACCCGGGCCUUGCAGCGCGAACUGGCGUGCUAGAGUCCGCGGAAAGCAUGCGGAAUUCGUCGUGUAGCGGUGAAAUGCUUAGAUAUGACGAAGAACCCCGAUUGCGAAGGCAGCAUGCUGCAGCGGAACUGACGCUGAGGCUCGAAAGCGCGGGUAUCGAACAGGAUUAGAUACCCGAGUAGUC